UCACCCUUUAAUAAAAAAACCGAAAUAAAAGAUGAGUACAUGAAGGUGAUGCUAGUUCCCCUGCCUACGAGUUUUUAGCUACCUUGUCCUGGGGAAGGGCUGCAGAUUCACUUGAUACAGAUUUAUAAAGAGAGAGAAACGUUGGAUUAAAAGCAGCAGUGGGAAUAAAUUAAUGAAGGGAAAAAACUAACAGAAGCCAACUUGACAGGAUCUGAGCAUUAACUAAGUGUUGCUAUCCACUCCCCUUCCCCCCCAACCUCUCCGGUGAAACCUGCAGAUAGUUUGGAACAAGGAGCCUAAGAGAAGGUGCAAGUCUGUGUCUAUAUCUCUGGCAUAUGGAACUGUUUUACUAGGGUAAGAGCUCUGCCAAAAUUCUUUAAAACUAAAUGAAUUCAUGUAUAAUAUCCUUUAACAUCAUCUCUAACAGGCCCUGCUAUUCAUUGCUGUUUUACUGCAAACAUUAGACUUAUCCAAAUAAAAAUGGUGGGGGGAGGGGGGAAAGGGGGAAAGAAUUACAACCUAGUAAGAUGUGGUUAGUAAACUCCAGCAGAAAAAUUAAUGUAAAGGAAAAUGGGUAAGUAUGAGUCUGUGCCUAUUUCAACCAUGCAAACUUAUGCCAGGUUGGGCAGUAAAGACUAGAAAUAAGUUAGAAGCGUAACUUAAGUCCUUUCCCACCAUCCCAUUGAUGCAUAGUCAAUGUAUGUACAUAACUCCCAGUUGGCAUGAGCAAACUGCAUUAACUGUCUCUGCAUCAAACUAUCCCUAGAAAAGCAUAUUGACUGUACCAAGCAGGUUGAUAAAUGACACGACUUCAUUUCAGGAUAUCAUCAGAUAAGAAACAAGGAACCCGACCCUCUUGGUAGGUUAAAUUUUCAAAUCUGGAAGGAACACUCACCUGGUCUCCAGGAUGACCUGGUGGUCCAGGAUAGCCUUUGUAUCCCUAUUUAAAAAAAAAAUCAGAGAAGAGAACAGAAUAAAAUUACAUACACUUAGCUUGAAUUUCUCAUCAGACCUCAGAAGAAAGCUCUACGGAAAAAGAAGAUUUUAGAUGUGGAGGAAAGGUAGGAGUCGUGCUGACUUUUCACCACCCACCUUGCCUUUAUCCUGCUUUUUAGACUUCAAGUUCUUUAGGGCUGUUUUCCAGGAUUUACCAGAAACUUGCUUUGAAUAUAGAGUAAUGGUUUGGGAUGGCAGGCAUGUUAGACUUUUGCUUUUUCUAUAAUGUUAUUGUAGCCAUUAAAAAUAAACUUGUCUCCAUCAAAUAAUCAAACUAGAUUAGAAGAUUAAAUUCAGUUGCAGAGUAGUAGUAGUAUUAUGCAACCAUUGAUCCUUCUGGAUCAUGAUGUAUGCACGAGAGGUCACCCAGACCUUUGACACGUAUGCCCAGGCAGGGCUAUGGAGAGAGAAACGCUGUAAUUGGGUUAGUCAUAAGGUUAUAGAGAACAGAAAAGUGUAAUUUGAAACAAACCUUGGAAAAAAUAUCAAACCUCAACAAAAAAACUACAGGAAUAACGAAAUACCUUCAGGUUGAGCUAUAACGGUUAACUAUUUCCUGAUCUCUAAUCCCUACGCCCUGUCUUGGCAUAGGGAUCCCAGAAGGUCACUGUGCGGUAGUGGAACAUCCUAUGUAAUAUAUUUUUCCUGCUCUAGGAGUCACAACUGAAUCCUUUUUGGCGAAGUGCUUCAGUUCACUCACCAGAUGAGCCUGGGACUAUUCCUGUUCUACAGUUCUGUUCAACUGCCUUUUUUAUUCUUCCCACAGGAUCUUCUAGAACGGCCGGCUAAUUUUCCCUGACAGCAGUAUGUGGCCCUCAUAAUGAUCCCUGGGAUUCAGCCCAGUCUUCUUUGCAUUCCUCUUUAUUUACUAUUUCAGGUAUUUGGAUUUGGAGAAAUGCUUAAUCCCUCAUCACCCAGUUUCUCCUGCUUGAGCUUACCAUUAUACUGCAACCCUGUGUUUUCUUUCUGUCUAUAGAAAAAAAUGUGAUUUUCUUUAAAGAUCCUAUGAGUGGCAAGGAUCCUGAACCUCGUAGAAUUAGAUAACAAAAGUCCUGAUCCAGAACCUAUUUGGGUCAAUGUGGGCACUGCUAUUGACCCAAGGGUUUUUUUAAAGAGACUUGCGAAGAGGACUGACUGGCUCAGGUAACAGGAUAAAGUUUACCAAUGGAUCUCCAAGCAGGUAGUGACCUAAAGUUUGCACAAUCCAAUGGCUUUGGGUGGCAUAUGACUUUGUUUCCUUUCUUAGAUAUUUCAAAAUUAGUGCUAUGCCCACUGGAGAACUGGUCAGGAGCUUAAUGCUUAGCCUUUUGCUCAGAGACGGCGCCGAAUUCAGGAGGAAAAAAACUGCUACAUUUGUACCACGCUCCAAACCUCAACUGGGAAGGACAAUGAAUAACCUGUGCUAAUUUUAGAUCCUAGAUACUACGUCCAUGUUGAGGCUCUUGCUGGUUGAUGGGUUACAUAUUGGCCAAAUGCACUGGAGAGAUUCUAUUUCUUUAAGAGUUAUCACCGGAUGCCUUGGGGUAUUUCUGUCUCUGGGCUCUGUCCAUCCCAUACUCUACAGGGACAGUGAGGAUGUGAGCUUUCCACUCCGCUCGGGCACCACGACUGCAGGUAGCUGACUCUAGGGCUCACAGCUAAAGUCAGUCACUCUCUAAGUCAGGGGUGGGCAAUUAUUUUGGGUGGAGGGCUGCUUACUGAGUUUUGGCAAGCCAUUGAGGGCCGCAUGACAGGCAGCCGGGGCAGAUAAAUAUUAAUUUUCAAAUUUUUUAGGGGCCCCACAGGCCAGAUAGAAUGGCCUGGCGGGCCGCAUCCGGCCCGCGGGCCGUGUUUUGCCCAGCCCGGCUCUAAGUGCACUCAUCUGGAACCAGCAGCCCACUCACUAUGAUCGCCAAUGUCCAAACAAACAGCAGGAGCCAAAACCAAAUGUCCAUAGAGCAAAAGUUACUCUCUAUCAAAACAGCUCUUCCUUUCUUCAUAGGCAACUGUUUCCAUCACCUUUGCUCAUGGGGCAGGCACUACUGGGGCAUCAUCAUCAUCACACACUGCAGUGAAUGAAUACCUACAGCUCUUCUUCUCUCCCUCCUAAAAUAUAAAAAUCAAGUGUAAAAGUUUCCUUUGGAAAUCGCAGAUCCAGAACACUCAGGAAUUGGAUUGCUCCUCAGGACUGCGAAUGCACCAUGGUUGGAAGAGGGAGACUGCGACUAUAAAUACAAGUCCUGAGCUAAUGUCUGCACUAAGCAUGACAAUGUUUUAUCUAUAAAGGCUAGUGAAUAGCUCUUAAGCUAAAUAUAUAUCUAGCCCAUUAUUGCUGCGUCCUAUUAAAUAUGAUCUUCAUUGUUUAGAGUGAACUCAGGGGAGUUUAAAAUGUGUGUUUCUGCACAUUAACCUGUGAUUACCACUGUCUGAGGUUAAUUGUAGUGAGGACAAAAAAAGCUUAUGUAUUCUAAGGCUGGCUGGUAUGUGAAAGUGUUUACCUGCCGCAUUCCUCUUUAAAUAGCACUAAAAUGACAGGGAAGAGCAUAUGAAAACAACUGCAUUUGCUUUCCUAUCCAAACACUUCCUGAUGAUUACAGGGCAUUAAACAUAAAGGGCUGCGAUUUCAAAAGGAAAUUACACUUCACUGAAAGGUUUGCUCAUCUGUGACGAGGUUUAUAUCCAUGCUAUCUCUAGCUACAAUGCCUUGCUUUCUGCGGGGACUGGAGGUGGUCUGACAAGCUCAUCUGGCCAGGCUGGAAGAGGCUGCUUGCUGUGUGCUGCCUCUUUGGAAGGAAGGGCUUCGGGCUGGAUCCCUGAACUGGGAAUUCAGUAAAUUUAGGUCCAGUUCCUAGCUCUGUCUCCAUGACCUUGGGAGAGUCUCUUAAUCUCUCAGUACCUCACUUUGUCAACCCUUAUGUUCAGUUCCAGCUGUUCAGGUCUCUGUACAGUUUGUCUCAGGAGAAUCAAAGCAUUUUGCUAAAAUACAUUUGCAAGGCAGCCAUUGCCUGCCUCCAACAGCCAAAAACCACACACCAUUCAUGGGUUCUUAGGCACCAAAAGAGAAGCCCUUUAAGCUAAGGUUUUGCCACCAUUUUCUAAAACUGCUGUGCAGCAAAAAUAAAAUUUGUUCCAUGUGAAGAGGAUGAGAACGGCAUCUCUCUUGGACAAAACCACAGCAUUUUUGGUAUCCCAUGUCUGAGCAGCUGGUUGCAGUUGGGCACAGGCAAAGGUUUUUGUGGGUGUCCUGAGGCCAGAGCAUUCAAAUCUGCAAAGAAAAGAUUCCCUCCCCAUGCAUUUGCAUCACAGAGGUGUUCUUAUGGUGCAAACCGUACCACGCUAAACCACGUCCUUUUGGUAGUGGCUCCAGCUCAGACUGCAGGGGAAGGAAAAAUGUCUUGUGGUAGAGGGAAAAUUCUCUCUCUCUGGAACUUCUUACACAGCAUUUGCAGAUGAAUGGAGCGCCGUUCCAUCCAAGCCACAACAUGAAGCUCUUUCCCAUCAGUCCCACAAAAGGAGAAUGCCAUUUCCUUCUUGCUUACACCAGUUUUCAAGGAUUUGCCAUUUUCUUGUAGCUUAACCAGACUCCCAGUCUGCAGCCAAAUGCCAUAUUUUCACUGGGGUGAUGCCAGCAGGGAAUUGAGAUUGAAAACUGUUUUGUCCAAAUAUUUCUCCAACAGCUUUUAAUUUUUUUUCUUAAUUUAGAAGUCUAAUAAAUUCCAGGCAGUACCAAAAUGCCUGCCAGGCUAGCACUGCUGUGGUUUCAUUUUAGUUAUUUAUUUAUGUGUUUAUUUUCUUGUGCAGUGCACCGCAGGAAAAUCUCAUCAUCCACCUUACUUGUAGACUUGAAGAAACAGCAUUCCCCUUUCUCCCCCACCAACACUAUCCGUGAACGAGCUUCAGGAGUCUGUUUGCCAAGAUCAGGUGUGGGGUCUAUGGAACUGGGUUUGGGAAUGUUUGUUUAAUCUCCUAUUCCUUCUCCACGUUUUCCACCACAGGCCUAUGCUCUCCUGACACUGCAUUUUGCUGCUCAAAACCGCAAGGUUUUGUUUUAUGAGCUGCUAUGCUAAAAAACGAUGUUCUUUAGACCUAAUUCAUAAGAACUAGUUUGUGACAGUGGAGGUGGGAUAAGUCUUGACCACUGCGCUCUUUGGCUCAAUACCCAAGACUGAACAAGUAUCAUCACCCCUGCAGAUGGUUUACAACCCCAGCUCCUGUUUUCAUGACUGGUGAUGGGAUGGAUCGGCCCAGCACCCCAUGCUGCGUAUUUCAUGCAGGUGAAAGGUAGUCAUUUGCCAGCCCUGGAGACUGAAGGCCCUUGUAUAGCAGAAGCUCUUCCAAGUGGCUUUAGUCCCUGAUCUCAGUGGCACUUACUUUGAGGGGAGCUUUCUCUAUGGCCCGGUCACUCCCACGAUAACCAGGAAAAGUAGGGAGUUUGGUGUUCAGCUUUGUAAUGGUGAUACCUGCUCACUGCAAAUAGCACAGAAGCCCACUAACCCCAUAAGCCAUCAAGUAGGUUUUCACCAUUCACAAGGGAAUUGCUUGAACCCAGCAGGGGGAAAGUAUUAUCCUUUCUCUGAAACAUUUAGCAAGGCCUCUAAUAUAUUAGACUGUAAAAAUAUGACAACUGGGAGUCCCCUGCUGUGGGGCUGUUCUUAAGCAUCCCCAUGAUGGGGAUCCACUGUCCUCCAGAAGCCCUUUUCCACUCCUCCAUCUAUUGCAUUAGGCUGGUACUUUGCAGUAGGGUAAAGAAACAAAACAACACUAAACUAAAAUGCUUGAAAAAUAAAAGCUCCCCCACAAAAGAGAGGAGCGGAGUUGUGGAAUUUGCCACCACCAGAAGUGUGAGCACACUUAGUCACGGGAAUGUGGCUGAUGCAGGGGUGUGAGGUUGCGUACGCUGUUUCAGACACAAAGGACAGAACAUGGCAGUGAGGAAUCUCACACGUUAGCCCUUGACAUCAGUCUUGGGGACAAGCACAUUACUGGAGACAUUAGGGCUACUGAUGCACAAUACAGAAGCAAACAAAGCAGACCCGUGUUAAUUUUGAGCUCCAUUCACAAUGAAAGAGAGAAAGAAAAGCUUUUCCAAACCAAUAUGGGUUUGUCUUGCCCAAGAAACUUGAUCAAGCUGAGGUUAGGCUCCAUUAACAUGUGCGUGAUAGGCAACAUCUAAACUCAACCCUUCCUUAGCAUAUAUGCACAGAAAUGCCCUGUAGGUUAAUUCAGCUCCUGCCCUGGGUAGAACGAUCUGAGAUAAAUGAUAUAAGCCUGCAUAUAUACAGCCUGGGGAAACACUGCUUAGAGGAGGAUAUUCUAGCAGAUGGGGAGGUAGUCUUUGGAGGCCUGGGUUCAAUUCCUCUCCCUACCAUAAACUUCCUGUGUAACUUGGAACAAGUCACUGGGCCUCUCUGUCUCUGUUCCCCAUCUAAAGUGGUGAUAAUAGGACUGCUCCUUCUCAUGGGAAUGGGAUUAGAAGAUUGUGGGUGCUUUGAUAACAUGGUUAUGGGGGCAAUGUGUAAGUAGCUGAGAUAAAGAAAGUUUAGAUUGGACUUAGCAUGUCUUAACUAAACCUGGCUUAAACCAAGGCAUUCUUCCUUCAAGACAAAGAGUAAGAAGCCAGAAAGGCUGAGGAUCGCAGUGCCUAGAAAAGUAGAAUGGGAGGCAGGGCUCUCUUCCCUGCUCUGACGUGGUCUUACUCGUCUCUGUGCCUCCCUUCAUCCACUUGUACAUUGGGGAUACCAACUUGCUCUCCUGUCCCUGCAUGCCGAGGCAUAAUUAAAUCUUCUAAAGUACACAGGAAUCUUUCAAGCAGAGAUGUUUAAGAAGGACAAUUCUUAUUUGCUGGCAAUCAUUUUAAUUCACUAAUAAAGAAAAUACUCUUACCUUCCGACCAGGUGGUCCAGGCAAACCAGUCAAGCCGGGCAAGCCCAUGUCUCCCUAUAAGAGAUCAGCGUGUCUCAUUAAUUUUCAGCAGCUUUUAUUGGCAUCUCCCAUACAGUCUUACCAAAUGUCUUUGGCAUAGAAUUCCUCAGAAAUACACUGGAAAAUGAUUCGUGGUUCCAAAGAUUAAAAGCGGACUGUAAAUACACACGCUCUACUACUUAGAUCAUGGAAACAAUGGGACCAAUGAAUGAAUGGAAGCCUCUAGCCAGGAGAACACAACCUCCCUUUGCAAUGGUCUCCUUCACUCGCACUAUUUGCAUUUUGACAGGAGUUGAAAUGGCAAAGGAAGGACAGAAUCAUACUUUUCAAAUGAAUCAAUGGAUGUCCACUGCCAAAUCCAGUAAUCAGGCUCAUUUACUGUUGCUGCUGCUGCAGCUACUACUCCUCCAGUGACUGCAUUCAAAUAGGUCUGACAAAGCUAUUUUAUUUAUGUAUACAGUGCUGAUCAAUCCCUUCCUGGCUGCUUGAAUGGAGGUUGUUUUGGUUUCCAGUCUUGGGAUAGGAUCACUUUCAGCCCCAAUUGGCAUACUGGAAACAUCUUAAGAAUGGACUGUCCUUUGUUGCUAGCCAUUUACAUACCACAUCCGGUCCCUAACUUUAAUAAAUGCCUGGCUUCCUUUCAUCAUCCUUAAAGAACCCUUAGGAUUCCCCACAUGCAGGCACUGUGUCUGAUUAUUUAACAUGUAUUUGGAGGAAGAAUUAGGCAUCACUCCAAACUCCAGCUGGAAGUUCCUUGUUUCUAUUAAUACUAACAGAAACAAGGCCUUGUUAACAAAGACUAAGGAUAAUCUGGGCCUUGCCUGCUCUUACAGUGAGCAUGCUUUGGGAGAAAACUGUUAUUGAGCUUUCUGGUAGAUCUUUUCCAUGUGAUGCCAAUUCUGAUGCAUCAGAAAGCUUUGUGUGGUUCAAAAAAAAUCACUGUGUGUGGUUAAAAUGAAAGACUCGGUUCAAAACAGUCUCAGUACUCUCUAGGGUCAUCAUCCUUGUUGCAUCAUGCUUAAAGUACUGCAUCGAGACACUGGGCUUCAAAUUAAUUAACUGAAACCCUUCAUAGCUGAUACUUUCUAUUAACUGCUCACUAAUAGUAAGGCUCAUAAUGUGAGUGAGGGAAAAGGUUUAUUUGGACUGGAAAUAAGUUAUGAAGGAAAGAGAAAGUGAGUUGGCACAAAGAAAAGGGCAAAUCAUUAUAGAUAUUAGGGAAGCCUGAUCAUUCCUCUAUUAACUUCAACAUUUAUAUGAGCCUCUAUUGCCAGGCAUCAAUAAAAACCAAUCAACUGUGAAACAGCACAAAAUUCAGCUUUUAAUUUAUUGAAAUGAACUAGCAAUAGAGCUUCUUGAUCCUUACACAAGAGCUAAAUAAUCAGGCCUUGCUAACUGGCCUUGCAUGGAUUUCAUUGAUUCUAAUCAAGCUGGGUGCAAAACUUCUGAUUAUUUAUUGCACAGUAGGGUCGGCAUAUGCUAAUUGGGACAGUUCUGUCUUCCUUAAUCUGGACAGCAAGAUGGCUGUGAAGUUAAGACACUGGCCUCCCAAGAUUUCACUUCUUCACUUGGCUCUGCUGCAGACUUGCUGUAUGAUUGGUCAAGAAAGUAAAUCAGUUCCUCAGGUCCCCCACUUACCAAGGGGGAAAAUGUUUCCUUUAAACUCAAAGCUUUUUCUGCUUAGACUGCUCACUCCUUGGGAUCAGGGAUUGGAUACUAUGGCUAUGUCUAUACUACAAUCAAGCUGUGACUGUUGCUUGCACAAAUAUACCUGAGCUCAGGUGCCAAUCACAGGGAGCAUGGAGCUCAGCACAGGCUACAAAAUUCAUCUAGAAUGUGUAAAUCCUCAUUCAGCAAGCCAUUCCUGCUGCCAUCAGUACACAACCCAGUGAGCUAAUAGCUCGCUCGGGUACUUCUACAGGUGCUUUUGUCACGCCUUCCUAAAUCCCCCCUAUUCGUACCUACAGCAUGGAGCACAUACUGAUUCUCAUCUGGUGGGCUAAUUCUCAUCUGUAAAAUAAAUAGCACUGCUUACCUUCUGUCCGUUGUGAGCUUUUCCGGGUGAUAGCCCAGGAUCACCUUUUUGACCCUAAAACAAAGAAUCAAAGUUCAUGACCUAGUUCAGAGAGAACACUCCUCAUUUCAUGCACAGGGUCUUGGCUGACAUUAGCCUUGGCAUUCAAAAGGAGUUUUAUUUCCCCAUUUCAUCCCCACCUCCCAAACAUUUUAACAUUCAUGUUUUCUGGAUUGUUUUACUGGGACGGAACUAAGACUGUUUUUGAAAUUGUUUGUAGCUGCUAUAGCAAUAAAGAUUUUAAACUAA
Molecule: long non-coding RNA, 9220 nt
Organism: Alligator mississippiensis (American alligator)
Lineage: Eukaryota; Metazoa; Chordata; Crocodylia; Alligatoridae
Exons: 2
Source: RefSeq, a predicted model, not a curated record